UGACUCGGGGUGCCCCGCUAACGCGCGGGCUGAGAUAUUACCCGUAUUACCUGAUCUGGAUUAUGCCAGCGUAGGGAAGU
Molecule: non-coding RNA, 80 nt
Filed under: Leminorella richardii
Lineage: Bacteria; Pseudomonadati; Pseudomonadota; Gammaproteobacteria; Enterobacterales; Budviciaceae
Description: TPP riboswitch (THI element)
Rfam family: TPP riboswitch aptamer (THI element)
About the family: Vitamin B(1) in its active form thiamin pyrophosphate (TPP) is an essential coenzyme that is synthesised by coupling of pyrimidine and thiazole moieties in bacteria.
Source: RNAcentral